Molecule: long non-coding RNA, 1157 nt
Organism: Phacochoerus africanus (Common warthog)
Lineage: Eukaryota; Metazoa; Chordata; Mammalia; Artiodactyla; Suidae
Exons: 3
Source: RefSeq, a predicted model, not a curated record
UACAUAUUUUCAAUAUAAGCCCCUCAUCAGAUACAUGACUUAAAAAUAUUCUCCCCCCAUUCAGCUGGUUGCCUUUGCAUUUUGUUGGUGGCUUCUUCUGCUAUGUGUGAGCUUUUUAGUUUGAUUGUAGCCCCACUUGGUUGAUUCUCAUUUUGUUGCCUUUGAUUUUGGCGUCCAGUCCAAAAAAUCAUCGCUAAGACUAAAGUCAAGGAGCUUACCCUUUAUGGUUUCAGAACUUAUAUUCGUUUUAAAUUCAUUUUGAGUUAAUUUGUGUGUGUGGUACACGAUGGUAUUUUUGUGUGUAGUGUAAGCCGUUUUAUAGUAAACCUAGUAAACCGUGGGGCACAGACAUAAGAAGAGACAAACGGAAAAAAGGAACAACCACCACAACCCCAGUGUAGAUAGAUCCGAGGAUAUUCGGUAGCAUCAUAGAUUGACGCGGGAUGACAGGUUCUUUUCUACGGUGUGUUUGCGUCUUGGCAGCCCCGCUCACUGCCUCACCACUGCGUCUCCAGGAGUGUUGGAUCUGCACUUCACACCACGUCCAGAACUGAACUCCAGGUGGAUAAAAGGGGAAGUGUGGAACUAUGAUAGACUGUCUUGUGGCUGGGAAUAACAAACCACACCGGACAAUAUUCCUGAGGAGUCCACGGGCUUCAUCAGACUCUCAAGGGGUCUCUGGUGGGAAAAUAAGGUUCAGAAAUGCUGAAGAAGAAAGACUGGUCUAUGGUCAGAGGCUGGAGAAGAGGUCGAGUGAGGCGAGGACGGCAAAGGCCCGUCAGAUGUGGCCGCCGUUGCAGUAGCACCUUAGAGCCUCUAUGUUGGGGCGAAGCCAGAGGCAGAAGCUCGAGGCAGAACUGAGAAGUGACUCCUACCGAAGACAUGAAAACAGCUCAGUGGACGGACUCUUUUUGGCAGCCAAGGGAAAGACGUGACAGGGUUUCCUGUCUGAUGCCCUCUUUAUGGAAAUAAGGAGCAAGAAACACGGACUGUGGACGAGGAGACGUGGCUGAGGCCUGACACGCAGGACCUUUUCUUAAAGGGUACAGCGUCAGCGUUAACGUUUAGCAAAAGAUUCUAUGUUUUGUGCCUUAUUUUACAGUUAAAAGCAUUUUCCUUAUUUGGAAAUGUGCUUGUCUUUGGACUAAAAGUAAUAA